GCCUGACUGGCUCAGUCGGUAGAGCAUGUGACUCUUGAUCUCAGGGUCAUGAGUUUGAGCCCCACGUUGAGUA
Molecule: transfer RNA, 73 nt
Filed under: Felis catus (domestic cat)
Lineage: Eukaryota; Metazoa; Chordata; Mammalia; Carnivora; Felidae
Rfam family: tRNA
About the family: Transfer RNA (tRNA) molecules are approximately 80 nucleotides in length. Their secondary structure includes four short double-helical elements and three loops (D, anti-codon, and T loops).
Source: Rfam by way of RNAcentral